GGAAGGGAUGUAUUUAUUAGAUAAAAAACCAAUGCCUUCGGGCUCCUUGGUGAUUCAUGAUAACUUAACGAAUCGCAUGGCCUUGCGCCGGCGAUGGUUCAUUCAAAUUUCUGCCCUAUCAACUUUCGAUGGUAGGAUAGUGGCCUACCAUGGUUUCAACGGGUAACGGGGAAUUAGGGUUCUAUUCCGGAGAGGGAGCCUGAGAAACGGCUACCACAUCCAAGGAAGGCAGCAGGCGCGCAAAUUACCCAAUCCCAAUUCGGGGAGGUAGUGACAAUAAAUACUGAUACAGGGCUCUUUUGGGUCUUGUAAUUGGAAUGAGUACAAUUUAAAUCCCUUAACGAGGAACAAUUGGAGGGCAAGUCUGGUGCCAGCAGCCGCGGUAAUUCCAGCUCCAAUAGCGUAUAUUAAAGUUGUUGCAGUUAAAAAGCUCGUAGUUGAAUUUUGUCUUUGGCCGCUCGGUCCGCCUAACCGCGUGCACUGAUGUGGCCGGAGAUUUCCUUCUGGCUAACCUCAUGCCCUUUACUGGGUGUGUUGGGGAACCAGGACUUUUAC
Molecule: ribosomal RNA, 555 nt
Filed under: uncultured fungus
Lineage: Eukaryota; Fungi
Description: SSU rRNA
Rfam family: Eukaryotic small subunit ribosomal RNA
Source: RNAcentral